Molecule: long non-coding RNA, 5978 nt
Organism: Physeter macrocephalus (sperm whale)
Lineage: Eukaryota; Metazoa; Chordata; Mammalia; Artiodactyla; Physeteridae
Exons: 3
Source: RefSeq, a predicted model, not a curated record
UCCCCUUUCCCUUUUGGUAACCAUGAGUUUGUUUUCUGUGAGUCUGUUUCUAUUGUAAAUAAGUUCAUUUGUAUCAUAUUUUAGAUUCCACAUCCAAGUGAUAUCAUAUGGCAUUUGUCUUCCUCUGUCUGACUUACUUCACUUAGUAGGAUAAUCUCUAGGUCCAUCCAUAUUGCUGCUGCAAAUGACAUUAUUUUGUUCUUUUUUUUUUGGCCGUGCCACACAGCAUGCGAGAUCUUAGUUCCCCGACCAGGGAUCGAACCGGAGCCCCCUGCAGUGGAAGUGCAGAGGCUUAACCACUGGACUGCCAGGGAAGUCCCUUGUUCUUUUUGAUGGCUGAACAAUAUUCCUGUGUGUGUGUAUGAGUGUGUGUGUGUGUGUGUGUGUGUGUACACCAGAUCUUCUUUAUCCAUUCAUCUGUCGAUGGACAUUUAUGUUGCUUCCAUGUCUUGGCUUUUGUGAAUAGUGCUGCUAUGAACAUUGGGGUGCAUGUAUCUUUUCAAAUUACAGUUUUCUCUGGAUAUAUGCCCAGGAGUGGGAUUGCUGGAUCAUGUGGUAAUUCUAGUUUUAGUUUUUGAAGGAACCUCCACGCUUUUUUCCAUAAUGGCUGCACCAAUUUACAUUACCACCAACAGUGUAGGAGGGUUCCCUUUCAUGAGAAAUCUUAUUGACUUCUCACCGAUUUCUUCCCCACCAUUGAGUUCCCCCGCCCCCAAAUACCCAACUCCCAUGGUCUUAAAGCAGACUUAUUCUCACCAGGAAUUUCACUAUCUCAGAAAACACAAUCACAAAAUCUCAAAUCUGACUCUAACAUCUUUACUGCAGUAUCACACACAAGCAUUUCUUCAACCUCAUCCAGACCUGCAAAUCUUUUGACUCUGCCGGAUUUUUGCAUUUAUUUUCCCACUGGUACUCACUGCCCUCCUCACCCAUUCAGUCAUAAUCAAUAUACUCACUUCCUUGCAAAACCCCAUAACCCCUUUGCCCCUCUCUUUUCUUCUAGCUUGCCCAGCUCUAGUUAAACCCAGCUCUUCCCCUACUCUUUACCUGUAUCAGAAUAUCUGAAUAUUGCUGGAAAAUUAAAACUGGCAGAUGUCACUUUAAGUUGACGUCCAUGAAUUUCAACUGAACCCUCAGUCCUGCCUAACCUUCCUACUGUAUUUUCCUGCUGUAUUCAAUUCCCCACACUCUACAAGGAUGGUUUUUCAAUCUUCUUCCUUUGUCCCCUUCUCAUCCUUCACUCUAAGCAGAUGAGCUUGCCUCAUACUUCACAGACAUGAUAGAGUCAGACAGGAACCCUCUCCUCUACCAAAUAUCUGCAUCUUGCCCAGGUUUUCUGCCUUCCCUGCUUGCUUUUUUUAAUUGAAGUAUCGUUGGUUUACAAUAUUGUGUUAGUUUCAGAUGUACAGCAAAGUGAAUCACUUACACGUAUAUAUAUAUGCCUUUUUUCAAUUCUUUUCCAUUAUAGGUUAUUAUAAGAUACUGAAUAUAGUUCCCUGUGCUUUUUUAAAACUUUAUUUUAUUUACAUAUAGGUGAUUUUCAAUGUUGUGUUAAUUUCUGCUGUACAGCAAAGUGACUUCAUUGCACAUACAUAUACAUUCUUUUCCAUUAUGGUUCAUCACAGGCUAUUGAAUAUACUUCUAGUUCCUUACUCUGGAUUCCCUUCCUUAGUCACUCAUUUCUCCCCCUAUCCUGGAUCAUUCCCACCUGCUUUAAAAAAUUCACCAAUAUUCUAAAAAAAUGUUUUUAACAACAAAAAGCUCUUUGAUCCCACAUCUCCUUCCAGCCACUCCCCCAUUUAUUUGCUCCCCUUAGCAACAAAACCAGAGUUCUCUGCAGUGGCUGUUUCCACAUCAACUCCAGUUUCUCCUUAAAUCAGUCAGGCUCGAGUUUCUGCCUCCACCUGUUGAUUUGGAAACUCCAUGAUGCAGAAGCCAGUGGUCACUUCGGGGCCUUGUCUUACUGCUGACCUCUUGGUAUUAUUAUUUUUUUAAAUAUUUAUUUGGCUGUGCCAGUCUUAGUAGUGGCACGUGGGAUCUUCAUUGCCGCGUGCGGGAUCUUUAGUUGCGGCAUGCAGGAUCUUAGUUAGACGACCAGGUAUCAAACCCGGGCCCCCUGCACUGGGAGCGCGGAGUCUUAGCCACUUGACCACCAGGUAAGUCCCUGACCUCUUGACAUUAUUACAGUUGGCCGCUCUCCUCCUUGUUACACCUCUCUUGGCAUUCAGGGUUCCUCUGAGUUCCCUUUGAUGCCUCCGCUUCCUUUGCUGAGGGCUCAGUUCUGGGGUCCCUUCUUUUCUGUAUCUAAAUGCUGUUUUAGUCACUGUGGGUCUUCAGCACCUGGAACAUAAUAGGUGUUCAGUGAAGUUCUGUGAAAUAAGAUAAUAGCAUCUGCAUCAUAGGAUUAUUGUGUGAAUAAGUGGACCAAGAAUGAAUAAUAAAGUAAUGGCAACUUUUAAUUGAGUGCUUACUAUGUGCUAAGCUCUUUUCAUGUAUUAUCUCACUGAGUCUUCCCAACAGUCCUUUGCGCUAGGAAUUCCUAUUAUUACCAUUCUGUAGAAGAGGAAGUUGAAGCUUAGUUAAAUGACUUGCCUAAGUUCACACAGAUAAUAAGUGGACAAGGAAUUUCCUGGCGGUCCAGUGGUUAGGACUCGGUGCUUUCACUGCCAAGGGUGCAGUUUCAAUCCCUGGUCAGGGAACUAAGAUCCUGCAAGCUUCAUGGCUCAGGCAAAAAAGUAAUAAUAAAAACCUUUAAAAAAAAUAAUAAGUGGAUGAACCCAUCCUCACUUUGGUCUUUCUGACUCAAAGUCAAUUCUCAGAAUCACUAAAUUGAGAUCAUAUGUAGGAAAGUGCUUUGUAAACAGCAAAAGACGAUGUUACUACAGUACAUAGCAGCACACAGCAUGGCAACUUGCACAUAGUAGGUGCCCAUGAGUGUUUGCUGAAUUGAGGCAGGGUGGGAAGAAGUCCGCACCAAGUAGUACCAUCACCCGAGGAAGGAAGAAGCAAUCUUGAGGACCUCGGAGACUCAAAUCAACCUUGCACCAUACGCUGAAUCUUUUGUGAUUCUCCUCAGCUAAUACAAGACACGUAAAGUGGGCAUUACCCAGACAUUUGCCCAACAUGGUUUCUAUCUUUCCUCCUUCAAUUAAGUCUCCACAGCUGGAACUGUUGGGUUAAUAAAUGCACAGUCAUUCCAGGGGGCUGGGGCUUGUUUAGCUCCUAAAUCAUCUCUGAUUUUAACAGGCCAGAGCAUGCUUCCUGAGGUGGGGAUCUUCUCAGAUUACUAACAGUGGUUUUAGAUGUUUUACUGUGUCUCUGGAGAUAGGAAAGAACCCUAGAAUUAGCCAACUUUUGACCCCUCACUACACUGAAUUCUACAGACAAGGGGUUUAAACCAUAUCUGUAUUUUAAAAUUUUACUGAAGUAUAGUUGAUUUACUUUUUUACUUUUUUUAAUUUUAUUGACCAUAUCCCUUGAACAUUCUACCUCCAUAUACUAAAGUUUUAGUGGGAUUCAAUGUAAGGAUCUUCAUUAGGAAGAGUACCAGGAGGGAAAAUACGACGCCUGGUAAUUCCAUCUUCCCCAUCUUCAGCCGGGUUAGUGGUCCUUUCUACAACUUAACCCUUCCUCGUUCUCAGAUGUUUAGUUUGCGUGGAGUUGAGCCCACCCCCAGCUCCUGAGGACAGGAUCCUGAUUGACUGCAGCCAAAGUGUGGCCUUGAUUUGAGGAUAGGCCCUUGACCUAAUUUGGGCCACAGUGCUCCCUGUAGAACACUAAUUAAACUCUGCCUGAAGGGGGAUGGUCCAUCAGGUAAAUGUGGGAAAUGCACUAAACAGUAUUCUCGCUCGGGGAUUCUCUUUUUUUCAAGAACCUCAAUUAUCCCAUCUCUCCCCAGAGUGUUGAAUUACUCCUUCUCAACUAGAUGAUUACUGUGGUUUUAAACAUGCAUAAGUGUCUCAUAUGUUAAAAAAAAAAAAAAAAAAAAAAAAAGAAGGAAGAAAGAGAAAGAAGGAAAAAGCCUACAUGGAUCCCUCUAGCCCACCACCCUAUCUCCUGUCUUUCUCAGCUACAGAAUUGUCAGUAUUUCCUCUCUCCACUUCUGCUUCCCCUUCUAUUCCAUCCCUCCUCCACAGAAAUGACCCUCAGGUCACCCCUGCCUCCAUGUCGAAAAGCGCAUGGAUGUGUUUCAAUCCUCAGCUCCUUUGACUCCCCAGGAGUACUUGACACUAUUGGUCACUUCUUCCUCCUUAAAGCACUCUGGUCCACGGGCUUCCAUGACAUCGCAUGACUCUCCUGGUCUCAGUCCUACCUCUCUGACUGCUCCUUCUCCGUUCUUUGCAGACUCAUCCUCUUCUACGCAACCCCUAAAUGAUGGGGUUCUCUCCUCCUCUGACUUUGCGGCUUCUCCUUAGACAAUCUCAUCCACGCUCACGGCCUCGGUUACCAGCAGGCCUCAGUCACGUCCCCACCCCUGGAGCUGGCAGGGAUGGGGACCCCGUAAUGGGGGAGGGGAACUGUUUCCCACGUAAUGGGGAGGGGAAUCAGGGUACUAUUCACAAAAGAAGGAGAAAGGGAUGCUGAAGAGCAGAAAAAAAAAAACAGAUGGUCCCUACAAGCAUGCAUUCUGGGUAAGCUCAUGCAGAUUAUCGAAACAGGCUCCUUUUGGGUCGCAGAAAUUUCUCAUCGUUGGAACCCUAAGCAGGACUGAGUACAGGCACCCAAAAUGCUGAUUUCCUCUGUAGACAGAACACUGUGUGGUUUGCAAAGGAGGCAGCCUCGGCUAGACCACUGAGAUCAACUUUUCCCACCUACAGCAUCCUGAAAGAACACGUAGCAAGAAGGUGGAGGGAGACAGACCACUAGCACUUCACUUCUUUUAAACACACCCCAUAGAGACACAUAUGUAGAGAACAAACGUAUGGACACCAAGGGGGGAAAGUGGCAGGGCGGUGGUGUGAUGAAUUGGGAGAUUGGGAUUGACAUAUAUACACUAAUAUGUAUAAACAUAUAUACACUAAUAUGUAUAAAAUAGAUAACUAAUAAGAACCUGCUGUAUAAAAUAAAUAAAUAAAAUUCUAAAAUUCAAAAAACAAACAAAAACACACUCCAAAGUCAUCAGUGCCAAGGGGAUGCUUUGUCUGAGGUUAGACAUCAUCCUCUCGGGGCUUUUGUUUUUUCUUUUUUCUUUUUUCUUUUUUUUUUUUUAAUUAAUUACUUUUAGAUUUGGCUGCACUGGGUCUUCGUUGCUGCGCACGGGCUUUCUCUAGUUGCAGCGAGCGGGGGCUACUCUUCGUUGCAGCGCGCGGGCUUCUCAUUGCGGUGGCUUCUCUUGUUGCGGAGCACAGGCUCUAGGCGCGUGGGCUUCAGUCAUUGUGGCUCGCAGGCUCUAGAGUGCAGGCUCAGUAGUUGUGGCACACGGGCUUAGUUGCCCCGUGGCAUGUGGGAUCUUCCCGGACCAAGGUUCGAAUCCAUAUCCCUUGCAUUGGCAGGCGGAUUCUUAACCACUGCGCCACCAGGGAAGUCCUGUUUUGCUUUUCUAAUAGGUACCUGGGAGAACUCACAGCUGCCUUCUGCUGGACUAGAAGUAUUUGUAUCCUGACCAUCUGCGAGGUCUUGCUCAGAGUUAGAGAAAAGCUUCUCAAAGCUUUAUAUUUUAUUCAAGAGAACCAUUGGAGUGCAGAGCGUACGAGGACCUUGUUGAGGUUGUUAACGCCUUGGACCAGGCUAGACAUGGUACCUCAAGGUAGAGCCAGUGAAGAUGGACAAAGGUCACAUCACUACAGAAAGGUGAGCCAGGAUUUGAAUGGAGUUCUGUCUGAUCCGAAAAGCCUAUUCUUUUUUCACUUCUCCACAUUACCCCAAAUAAAGAGGUGUUCAGAUGUUUUGAGUGAUGAUCAUAAUGAUGACAGACUCUAGGAUUCUGUGCAAUUUGCUCCCUGGCAUAUUUGUGCUACAUAUUCCUGCAGCACGUCUAC